Molecule: ribosomal RNA, 494 nt
Filed under: uncultured bacterium
Lineage: Bacteria
Description: partial 16S ribosomal RNA
Rfam family: Bacterial small subunit ribosomal RNA
Source: RNAcentral
GACGAACGCUGGCGGCGUGCUUAACACAUGCAAGUCGAACGGAAAGGCCUGUCCUUCCUUGUGUUGGACGGGUACUCGAGUGGCGAACGGGUAAGUAACACGUGAGUGAUCUGCCCCCAACUUGGGUAUAAGCCUGGGAAACUGGGUCUAAUUCCCGAUAGGACUGCAGGGUGGUGCCUGUGGUGGAAAACGAUUUUCUAGUGGUUGGGGAUGAGCUCGCGGCCUAUCAGCUUGUUGGUGGGGUAAUGGCCUACCAAGGCGGCGACGGGUAGCCGGCCUGAGAGGGUGGACGGCCACAUUGGGACUGAGAUACGGCCCAGACUCCUACGGGAGGCAGCAGUGGGGAAUAUUGCACAAUGGGCGGAAGCCUGAUGCAGCGACGCCGCGUGGGGGAUGACGGCCUUCGGGUUGUAAACUCCUUUCGACCGCGAGGAAGCCGCCUGGUUGGAAGGGUGGUGACGGUAGUGGUAGAAGAAGCACCGGCUAACUACGUG